Molecule: long non-coding RNA, 688 nt
Organism: Nerophis ophidion (straightnose pipefish)
Lineage: Eukaryota; Metazoa; Chordata; Actinopteri; Syngnathiformes; Syngnathidae
Exons: 3
Source: RefSeq, a predicted model, not a curated record
AAAUACCCCCUCCUCCUCUAGUGCACCUGUGUGUGUGUUUGUAUUGUAGGGCUUUCACAAAUGAAUUAAAAGGCGAGGAGUGUGCAGAAAGUUUUCAGAGUAAAUUAGGAGCCUGUAACUAUCUCCAGUUACUCUCCUCGUAUGAGAAAAGCAAUCACUGAAUAUUGAAGUACGUUGGCUCUCAGGAAUUUGGUCUCAAUAGCCUACGCAAGUUGAAGGCAGAAGAGAUCUCAUCAUAUGUUGCCUGUUGGAGUUCCUUGGAGAGCCGGGAGAGGAGCUGAUCAAAGACUGCCAGGAACAUUUCAAAAAUUUGGGAUUUGCUGAUGAUUAUUCUCACCAUAGUAAAUGUACAAACUCCGUUUCCAUAUUAGUUGGGAAAUUGUGUUUGAUGUAAAUAUAAACGGAAUACAAUGAUUUGCAAAUCAUUUUCAACCCAUAUUCAGUUGAAUAUGCUACAAACACAACAUAUUUGAUGUUCAAACUGAUAAACGUCACAAAGAAGUUGGGAAAGGUGUAAAUGAAUACUGAUAAAGUUGAGGAAUGCUCAUCAAACACUUAUUUAGAACAUCCCAGAGGUGUGCAGGCUAAUUGGGAACAGUUGGGUGCCAUGAUUGGGUAUAGAAGCAGCUUCCAUGAAAUACUAAGUAAUUCACAAACAAAGAUGGGCAAAGGGUCACCAAUUUGUAAG